This 253-nucleotide ribosomal RNA is filed under the name uncultured bacterium. Its description in RNAcentral is "partial 16S ribosomal RNA". It matches the Rfam family "Bacterial small subunit ribosomal RNA", at positions 524 to 776 of the family's 1533-position model. The record is from RNAcentral.
UACGUAGGGGGCUAGCGUUGUCCGGAAUCAUUGGGCGUAAAGCGCGUGUAGGCGGUUCGGUAAGUCCGCUGUGAAAGUCGGGGGCUCAACCCUCGAAUGCCGGUGGAUACUGUCGGACUAGAGUACGGAAGAGGCGAGUGGAAUUCCUGGUGUAGCGGUGAAAUGCGCAGAUAUCAGGAAGAACACCCGUGGCUAAGGCGGCUCUCUAGUACGGUACUGACGCUGAGACGCGAAAGCGUGGGGAGCGAACAGG